CGUCGCCGUAGCCGUAGGCGAAGUGGCGCGUCCCGUCGGCGGUGACCUCGUAGUUGUGCGGCGGGUUGUACUGCGGGUUCGGCACCCCGAGGCGACGGC
This 99-nucleotide transfer RNA is filed under the name Amycolatopsis acidiphila. RNAcentral describes it as "tRNA-Pro". The record is from RNAcentral. Lineage: Bacteria; Bacillati; Actinomycetota; Actinomycetes; Pseudonocardiales; Pseudonocardiaceae.